AUUGAACGCUGGCGGCAUGCCUUACACAUGCAAGUCGAACGGCAGCACGGGUGCUUGCACCUGGUGGCGAGUGGCGAACGGGUGAGUAAUACAUCGGAACAUGUCCUGUAGUGGGGGAUAGCCCGGCGAAAGCCGGAUUAAUACCGCAUACGAUCUACGGAUGAAAGCGGGGGACCUUCGGGCCUCGCGCUAUAGGGUUGGCCGAUGGCUGAUUAGCUAGUUGGUGGGGUAAAGGCCUACCAAGGCGACGAUCAGUAGCUGGUCUGAGAGGACGACCAGCCACACUGGGACUGAGACACGGCCCAGACUCCUACGGGAGGCAGCAGUGGGGAAUUUUGGACAAUGGGCGAAAGCCUGAUCCAGCAAUGCCGCGUGUGUGAAGAAGGCCUUCGGGUUGUAAAGCACUUUUGUCCGGAAAGAAAUCCUUGGCCCUAAUACGGUCGGGGGAUGACGGUACCGGAAGAAUAAGCACCGGCUAACCACGUGC
RNAcentral lists this ribosomal RNA (487 nucleotides) under uncultured bacterium. RNAcentral's name for it is "partial 16S ribosomal RNA". It matches the Rfam family "Bacterial small subunit ribosomal RNA", at positions 30 to 508 of the family's 1533-position model. The record is from RNAcentral.